Molecule: ribosomal RNA, 378 nt
Filed under: Salmonella enterica subsp. enterica serovar Enteritidis
Lineage: Bacteria; Pseudomonadati; Pseudomonadota; Gammaproteobacteria; Enterobacterales; Enterobacteriaceae
Description: partial 23S ribosomal RNA
Rfam family: Bacterial large subunit ribosomal RNA
Source: RNAcentral
CGGCGAUACCCGAAUGGGGAAACCCAGUGUGACUCGUCACACUAUCAUUAACUGAAUCCAUAGGUUAAUGAGGCGAACCGGGGGAACUGAAACAUCUAAGUACCCCGAGGAAAAGAAAUCAACCGAGAUUCCCCCAGUAGCGGCGAGCGAACGGGGAGGAGCCCAGAGCCUGAAUCAGCAUGUGUGUUAGUGGAAGCGUCUGGAAAGGCGCGCGAUACAGGGUGACAGCCCCGUACACAAAAGCGCAUGUGCUGUGAGCUCGAUGAGUAGGGCGGGACACGUGGUAUCCUGUCUGAAUAUGGGGGGACCAUCCUCCAAGGCUAAAUACUCCUGACUGACCGAUAGUGAACCAGUACCGUGAGGGAAAGGCGAAAAGAA